Molecule: ribosomal RNA, 505 nt
Filed under: uncultured bacterium
Lineage: Bacteria
Description: bacterial SSU rRNA
Rfam family: Bacterial small subunit ribosomal RNA
Source: RNAcentral
CUCGAAGUGGGGGAUAACCAUUGGAAACGAUGGCUAAUACCGCAUAAGCUGGUGAUGAUGGGAAUCGUUAUCAGGAAAGCUUUAGUGCUUUGAGAGGGGCCUACGGCCGAUUAGCUAGUUGGUGAGGUAAAGGCUCACCAAGGCGAUGAUCGGUAGCUGGUCUGAGAGGACGAUCAGCCACACGGGAACUGAGACACGGUCCCGACUCCUACGGGGGCAGCAGUGAGGAAUAUUCGGCAAUGGGGGCAACCCUGACCGAGCAACGCCGCGUGGAGGAUGACGGUUUUCGGAUUGUAAACUCCUUUUCUCAGGGAAGAGUGAGGACGGUACCUGAGGAAUAAGUCACGGCUAACUACGUGCCAGCAGCCGCGGUAAUACGUAGGUGGCAAGCGUUAUCCGGAAUUACUGGGCGUAAAGCGCACGCAGGUGGCUGCUUAAGUCUGACGUGAAAGCUCCUGGCUUAACUGGGAGAGGUCGUUGGAGACUGGGCGGCUUGAGGCGAGGA